AGAGUUUGAUCCUGGCUCAGAACGAACGCUGGCGGCAGGCUUAACACAUGCAAGUCGAACGCACCUUCGGGUGAGUGGCAGACGGGUGAGUAACGCGUGGGAACGUGCCCUUCAGUUCGGAAUAACCCAGGGAAACUUGGGCUAAUACCGGAUACGUGCGAGAGCAGAAAGAUUUAUCGCUGAAGGAUCGGCCCGCGUCUGAUUAGCUAGUUGGUGGGGUAAUGGCCCACCAAGGCGACGAUCAGUAGCUGGUCUGAGAGGAUGAUCAGCCACAUUGGGACUGAGACACGGCCCAAACUCCUACGGGAGGCAGCAGUGGGGAAUAUUGGACAAUGGGCGCAAGCCUGAUCCAGCCAUGCCGCGUGAGUGAUGAAGGCCUUAGGGUUGUAAAGCUCUUUCGGCGGGGACGAUAAUGACGGUACCCGCAGAAGAAGCCCCGGCUAACUUCGUGCCAGCAGCCGCGGUAAUACGAAGGGGGCUAGCGUUGUUCGGAAUCACUGGGCGUAAAGGGCGCGUAGGCGGCUUGAUAAGUCGGGGGUGAAAGCCUGUGGCUCAACCACAGAAUUGCCUUCGAUACUGUCUGGCUUGAGACCGGAAGAGGUAAGUGGAACUGCGAGUGUAGAGGUGAAAUUCGUAGAUAUUCGCAAGAACACCAGUGGCGAAGGCGGCUUACUGGUCCGGUUCUGACGCUGAGGCGCGAAAGCGUGGGGAGCAAACAGGAUUAGAUACCCUAGUAGUCC
This 740-nucleotide ribosomal RNA is filed under the name uncultured bacterium. RNAcentral describes it as "bacterial SSU rRNA". It matches the Rfam family "Bacterial small subunit ribosomal RNA", at positions 8 to 796 of the family's 1533-position model. The record is from RNAcentral.